AUUAACUCCCACAAUUUAACAGCUGAAGUCUUAACAUAGCCAGUGACUUCUUUCUCUGAAAUGCUACUGAAAUGAAAUAGAUGUGAACAAGAACACCUAAAGGAAGUCAGACUUUCUACAAGAUUGAACGCUGUGUCUCAGCAGAGAUUGGAUAGAAACUGUGAACUGAGAAGUAUAUAUAACAAGGAGUUUGAUUUCCUCUUUCCCGAGACUCCUGGAACAGAGUAAUCAGCUCAUGUUUGGUAUAUGUAUGACAACAAUAACAAGAUGUGAGUUUUGUUAUGUUUUCAUUUGCUUUAUUUUAUUGUCCUUUCAUCACAAAAACCUUGUUUGUCUGUCUUAAAACUUGACAACAUUGCAGCAUGUCUUUUAAUUCUUGCUUCUCUGACUUCUAUCCUGAACUCUCACUACCCAAUAAAGCUCAACUUUCA
RNAcentral lists this long non-coding RNA (431 nucleotides) under Gallus gallus (chicken). Lineage: Eukaryota; Metazoa; Chordata; Aves; Galliformes; Phasianidae. The record is from RNAcentral.